Molecule: ribosomal RNA, 327 nt
Filed under: uncultured eukaryote
Lineage: Eukaryota
Description: partial 18S ribosomal RNA
Rfam family: Eukaryotic small subunit ribosomal RNA
Source: RNAcentral
CCCUUAGAUGUUCUGGGCUGCACGCGCGCUACACUGAUGCAUCCAACAAGUUUUUUCCUUGUUCGAGAGGACUAGGUAAUCUUUUGAGAAUGCAUCGUGAUGGGGAUAGAUUAUUGCAAUUAUUAAUCUUCAACGAGGAAUUCCUAGUAAGCGCAAGUCAACAGCUUGCGUUGAUUACGUCCCUGCCCUUUGUACACACCGCCCGUCGCUACUACUGAUUGGAUGUUUAAGCGAGGUUCUCGAACUGCUAGCGACUUAGCUUCGGUGAGGUCGCAGUGUGGGAAGUGAACCUAGCUUUGGUGUCUAGAGGAAGUAAAAGUCGUAACA